RNAcentral lists this ribosomal RNA (253 nucleotides) under uncultured bacterium. RNAcentral describes it as "partial 16S ribosomal RNA". It matches the Rfam family "Bacterial small subunit ribosomal RNA", at positions 524 to 776 of the family's 1533-position model. The record is from RNAcentral.
UACGUAGGGUGCAAGCGUUGUCCGGAAUUAUUGGGCGUAAAGAGUUUGUAGGCGGUUUGUCGCGUCUGCUGUGAAAUUUCGGGGCUCAACCCCGAACUUGCAGUGGGUACGGGCAGACUAGAGUGUGGUAGGGGAGACUGGAAUUCCUGGUGUAGCGGUGAAAUGCGCAGAUAUCAGGAGGAACACCGAUGGCGAAGGCAGGUCUCUGGGCCAUAACUGACGCUGAGAAGCGAAAGCAUGGGGAGCGAACAGG